Molecule: ribosomal RNA, 573 nt
Filed under: Colletotrichum gloeosporioides
Lineage: Eukaryota; Fungi; Ascomycota; Sordariomycetes; Glomerellales; Glomerellaceae
Also listed under: 1 other name
Description: eukaryotic LSU rRNA
Rfam family: 5.8S ribosomal RNA (bases 221-374)
Source: RNAcentral
AAAAGUCGUAACAAGGUCUCCGUUGGUGAACCAGCGGAGGGAUCAUUACUGAGUUUACGCUCUAUAACCCUUUGUGAACAUACCUAUAACUGUUGCUUCGGCGGGUAGGGUCUCCGCGACCCUCCCGGCCUCCCGCCUCCGGGCGGGUCGGCGCCCGCCGGAGGAUAACCAAACUCUGAUUUAACGACGUUUCUUCUGAGUGGUACAAGCAAAUAAUCAAAACUUUUAACAACGGAUCUCUUGGUUCUGGCAUCGAUGAAGAACGCAGCGAAAUGCGAUAAGUAAUGUGAAUUGCAGAAUUCAGUGAAUCAUCGAAUCUUUGAACGCACAUUGCGCCCGCCAGCAUUCUGGCGGGCAUGCCUGUUCGAGCGUCAUUUCAACCCUCAAGCUCUGCUUGGUGUUGGGGCCCUACAGCUGAUGUAGGCCCUCAAAGGUAGUGGCGGACCCUCCCGGAGCCUCCUUUGCGUAGUAACUUUACGUCUCGCACUGGGAUCCGGAGGGACUCUUGCCGUAAAACCCCCCAAUUUUCCAAAGGUUGACCUCGGAUCAGGUAGGAAUACCCGCUGAACUUAA